Molecule: ribosomal RNA, 467 nt
Filed under: uncultured bacterium
Lineage: Bacteria
Description: bacterial SSU rRNA
Rfam family: Bacterial small subunit ribosomal RNA
Source: RNAcentral
CCAGACUCCUACGGGAGGCAGCAGUGAGGAAUAUUGGUCAAUGGGCUUACGCCUGAACCAGCCAAGUCGCGUGAGGGAAGACUGCCCUAUGGGUUGUAAACCUCUUUUGUCAGGGAGCAAUUGGCGCUACGUGUAGCGUUAUCGAGAGUACCUGAAGAAAAAGCAUCGGCUAACUCCGUGCCAGCAGCCGCGGUAAUACGGAGGAUGCGAGCGUUAUCCGGAUUUAUUGGGUUUAAAGGGUGCGUAGGCGGUCGGAUAAGUUAGAGGUGAAAUCCCGAGGCUCAACUUCGGAAUUGCCUCUGAUACUGUUCGGCUAGAGAGUAGUUGCGGUAGGCGGAAUGUAUGGUGUAGCGGUGAAAUGCAUAGAUAUCACGCAGACCUCCGAUUGCGAAGGCAGCAUACCGGCGCCCAACUGACGCUGAAGCACGAAAGCGUGGGUAUCGAACAGGAUUAGAUACCCCAGUAGA